Macaca mulatta (Rhesus monkey) is the source of this 936-nucleotide non-coding RNA. The record is from RefSeq and is a predicted model, not a curated record. Lineage: Eukaryota; Metazoa; Chordata; Mammalia; Primates; Cercopithecidae.
GCCCCUCAGGGGGCCGCACGGGCCGGGGGAUGCACGCUCUGGAGGUGAGGACCGGGCAGGACGGCCUGGCCUCGAGGCGAGAUGGCCGCACGGUCUCUAGUGGGCCGCGACCCGCAAGGCUCGCAGAGUCGCAGGUGGUGACGCGCGGUCGGGGGCCCGGUCGCAGGGGACACACAGCUGGGGGCGCGAUGGCGCUGGACGGCCGAAGGUCUGGUUGAGAACUUGAACCCGCCUGAAGCGGAGGCCUGAGAAAAUGCAGGCCCGCUGAAGCCCGCCCGCCGGCCCUGAGCCCUGAAAGCCUCCCGCAGUUUCCCCUGACCCCGCGGCCGCUCUGCGCCUUUUCCGAUUUCUUGCUGGUUGAAUACCUCCCUCUCCACUCCCAACUUCAGGGCAGAGGUCUAGAGCUGCUCCUGGCUCUUGUACUCUACUUUGACCCAAUGAGAGCCUCAUUUCUCUUCCAAGGCACAACUAACCAAAACAUCACUGUGCAUGAUUAUCAACCAGGGAGAAAAAGGACUCAGGGAAAUGAAGAGGGCCCAUGGCCAAGCCUCUAGAACACAUGCAUUUGAAGACAAGAUGAAGGAAAAACUGCGAACAGCCAGAGAGGAAUAAUGAAUACUGAAAGACAAUUACAAGAAAUAAGCUAAGGAAAGAGAAUAUCCCAGGAAGAGAAGUGAGACAGCCAGGUGGAAAGGGGUCCCCAGAGAAACUCCAACCAGCCUGUGCACUGGGAGGAGCGUACACUGGGGUGGAGCCACACAAGUUCAGCAAUUUGCAGUGGGGAGGAGCCUGGCCCCUCCUCUUCCUGAGUGGACCCUGGAAGUGAAUCUGCGAGGCGGGAAGCACACUAGCGGGCGCUCUGGCUUUGUGGAGGGUCCCUGUUUCCCAGUUUUUUUCCUUUUUGUCCAAUAAAUUCCAUUUUUCUCCCCCUUCAAA